Molecule: ribosomal RNA, 497 nt
Filed under: uncultured bacterium
Lineage: Bacteria
Description: partial 16S ribosomal RNA
Rfam family: Bacterial small subunit ribosomal RNA
Source: RNAcentral
GAUGAACGCUGGCGGCGUGCCUAAUACAUGCAAGUCGAGCGAACAGACGAGGAGCUUGCUCCUCUGACGUUAGCGGCGGACGGGUGAGUAACACGUGGAUAACCUACCUAUAAGACUGGGAUAACUUCGGGAAACCGGAGCUAAUACCGGAUAAUAUAUUGAACCGCAUGGUUCAAUAGUGAAAGACGGUUUUGCUGUCACUUAUAGAUGGAUCCGCGCCGCAUUAGCUAGUUGGUAAGGUAACGGCUUACCAAGGCAACGAUGCGUAGCCGACCUGAGAGGAGGGUCACGCACACGGGAACGGAGACACGGCUCAGAGUCCGAAGGGAGGCACCAGCGGGGAAGAUGGGACAAGGGGUCAAAGCAUUACAAAGCUAUGCCUCGUGAGUGAAGAAGGUCUGCGGAUGUUAAAGCACUGUAAGGUGCGAGGAAGAGAAGUAAGGGAAGACCGCGCUGCUGGGACGUGACCAAAAGAAUAAGCAACGGCUAACUUCGUG